AUGCCUAAUACAUGCAAGUCGAACGGGAUCUUCGGAUCUAGUGGCGCACGGGUGCGUAACGCGUGGGAAUCUGCCCUUGGGUUCGGAAUAACUUCUGGAAACGGAAGCUAAUACCGGAUGAUGACGUAAGUCCAAAGAUUUAUCGCCCAAGGAUGAGCCCGCGUAGGAUUAGCUAGUUGGUGAGGUAAAGGCUCACCAAGGCGACGAUCCUUAGCUGGUCUGAGAGGAUGAUCAGCCACACUGGGACUGAGACACGGCCCAGACUCC
This 267-nucleotide ribosomal RNA is filed under the name unidentified marine bacterioplankton. Its description in RNAcentral is "partial 16S ribosomal RNA". It matches the Rfam family "Bacterial small subunit ribosomal RNA", at positions 45 to 339 of the family's 1533-position model. The record is from RNAcentral. RNAcentral also lists the same sequence under 1 other name.